This 497-nucleotide ribosomal RNA is filed under the name uncultured bacterium. RNAcentral's name for it is "partial 16S ribosomal RNA". It matches the Rfam family "Bacterial small subunit ribosomal RNA", at positions 30 to 523 of the family's 1533-position model. The record is from RNAcentral.
AUUGAACGCUGGCGGCAUGCCUUACACAUGCAAGUCGAACGGUAACAGGUCUUCGGAUGCUGACGAGUGGCGAACGGGUGAGUAAUACAUCGGAACGUGCCUAGUAGUGGGGGAUAACUACUCGAAAGAGUGGCUAAUACCGCAUGAGAUCUACGGAUGAAAGCAGGGAUCGCAAGACCUUGUGCUACUAGAGCGGCCGAUGGCAGAUUAGGUAGUUGGUGGGAUAAAAGCUUACCAAGCCGACGAUCUGUAGCUGGUCUGAGAGGACGAUCAGCCACACUGGGACUGAGACACGGCCCAGACUCCUACGGGAGGCAGCAGUGGGGAAUUUUGGACAAUGGGCGAAAGCCUGAUCCAGCAAUGCCGCGUGCAGGAUGAAGGCCUUCGGGUUGUAACCUGCUUUUGUACGGAACGAAAAGCCCUGGGUUAAUACCCUGGGGUCAUGACGGUACCGUAAGAAUAAGCACCGGCUAACUACGUGCCAGCAGCCGCCGUAA